Molecule: non-coding RNA, 959 nt
Organism: Punica granatum (pomegranate)
Lineage: Eukaryota; Viridiplantae; Streptophyta; Magnoliopsida; Myrtales; Lythraceae
Source: RefSeq, a predicted model, not a curated record
CUCAGCACAGAACUAUCGACAUAUUGCAGCUUAGCUUAGCUCGAGAGCAUCAUCCCUCUUAUCUUAGGAGUAGGGUAAUUUAGAUAACCGAACUUAUAACGGCAAGGCUUAUCCCUUAACGAUUCAGGUUCAAAGUCUAUGGCGGUAGAAGUAUUCCUCAACUACACAGACACGACUCCAUCAGCCCUUGUUUGGGAAGGUUGUCACCAUCCUGUGGCAUUUGCUUCCGAGCAUCUUAACGUGGUUACAAUUCUUCCAAAUUAUUGAACUUGGGCGAGCUUGAAUCAAGGUUUUUCAGAGCCUAAACCACCUCUUUCAAUGAAAAGCAAAGUAAUUAUGCCUAUACAUGCUGGACCUGCUCCAUUUGCGAGGCUACCGGAACUUCACCGAAGCAGCCACCACUUCGCCGAAACCUUCCUCAGAGGCUGACCACCACUAAUCUGAGUAUACUCUCGGCCGGUGCAGUUAAUUGUAUAUUUUAUGAACUUAUGUAUGAGAUAAAGAAGCAAACUAGAGACGUAUAUAGCCCUACAUAUAUGUAUUACAUAUAUAUUAUAUGAUCUGAACAGCAUGCACGAGUUUGAUCAAUUAUAUGGAUCGAUUUCCCGACAGGGGGAAAUUUUCCAAAGUUCUAGUCAAUUUUCACAAAUGCAGGAAAAGAAAUUAAUUGGGUCGAUUGGUCCACGAGCAUGCUUUUGACGGGAGAAUGCAUGGAUGGAUGGAUCGAUCCCCGUGUCAGACAGUCAAACCGGGAGAUGUUUUCCACACAAUUAUUGUACCAUCGAUCAAGUAGACAUAUCAAUCACUUGCUGACAACACACACAAGCAUCUUCUAGAAUUACGUUUAACAAAGCUUUGGAAAUUAGAUUAUUACCCCACAUAAAGAAAAAGAUAUGUUGUCAUCGAUCAUGUCACAAUCCUUCGUAACAAAUAAAUAAAGCUUCUUACCAAAAUACAAA